Molecule: RNA transcript, 3223 nt
Organism: Hordeum vulgare subsp. vulgare (domesticated barley)
Lineage: Eukaryota; Viridiplantae; Streptophyta; Magnoliopsida; Poales; Poaceae
Gene name: nucleolin
Exons: 15
Source: RefSeq, a predicted model, not a curated record
GGAUCGAUUACCUACCUAGGCAAAGCCAGGCUGAGGCCACGCGCGGUCCGUCUUGUCUCGCCGCAAACCUAACGAAAGCCGCAGGCUUGCGUCUCGUCUCGUCUCCGUCGCUAGGGUUUCGGUCUCCCCGAACUCGAUCUUCAGCGAGGGCACCAGCCGGUGCUCUUGGUUUUGUUGUGGCGGCCUGAGAGAUGCCGCCCAAGUCGGUUAAGAGGGGCGGCGCCGCGGCGGCGAGGAAGGGGUCGGCGACCAAGGCCAGGGCGGCCAAGCCCCAGCCGCACGCGGAGGAGGCGCCCGUCGAGGUCGUCAAGGCCGCGGAGGAGGCUCCCAAGGUGGAGGAGCAGAAGCCGCAGCCGUCGCCGCCGCCGCAGCAGCCGGCCGCUGAGGAGAAGGCCAAGGCGGUUGCCGUUGAGAACGGCGCAAGCCACGCGCAAGAUGACGGAACUGCAAAAGAAACAUAUGAAGAAGAGGACAAAGGUGAACGACUGGAGUUUGAGGAUGAGCCCGAAUAUGAAGAGGAGCCUGUUGUAGACUACGACGAGAAGGAUUUGGAGCAGUAUGAGGAGCAAUAUGAAGACGGUGAUGAAGGGUUGGAGUACACUGAAGAUGUAGUCGAAGAGGAGACUGAGAUGGUGGAUGAGGAGGAGCUGGAUAAUGGCGGGGAUGAUGAUGAGGGCGAGGAAUAUGAAAAUGCAGAUGAAGACCAUGAUGUGGACGUGGAGGACGAAGACCAUCAUGAAAUGGUGAAAGCACAUCGCAAGAGGAAGGAGUUUGAAGUUUUUGUUGGUGGGCUAGAUAAAGAUGCAACAGAAAGUGACCUGAGGAAGGUGUUCAGUGAAGUCGGCGAGAUCACUGAAGUUCGUUUGAUGAUGAACCCUGUUACCAAGAAGAAUAAAGGCUUUGCCUUCCUGCGAUUUGAGACCGUGGAGCAAGCAAAGCGUGCUGUCUCAGACCUGAAAAAUCCGAUGGUGCGAGGUAAACAAUGCGGUGUUGCUCCUAGUCGUGACAACGACACACUUUUUGUUGGCAAUAUCUGCAAGACAUGGACAAAAGAACAUCUGAAGGAUAAGCUGAAGAUCUAUGAGGUCGAGAAUUUUGACGAUUUAAUAUUGGUUGAGGACAGCAAUAACCCAGGGAUGAAUCGUGGGUAUGCUUUACUUGAGUUUUCUACUCGCCCUGAAGCUAUGGAUGCUUUCAGGCGGUUGCAGAAGAGGGAUGUAGUCUUUGGAGUUGAUCGCACUGCAAAGGUUUCCUUUGCCGAUUCCUACCCUGAAGUCGAUGAUGAAAUGAUGGCACAGGUCAGAACUGUAUUUCUUGAUGGUCUCCCCCCGUCAUGGGAAGAAGAUCGUGUUAAGAAGUACCUUAAAAAGUAUGGAGCUAUCGAAAAAGUUGAACUCGCUCGAAACAUGCCUGCGGCCAAAAGAAAAGAUUUUGGAUUUGUUACUUUUGAUACGCAUGAUAAUGCUGUUGCAUGUGUUGAUGGGAUAACUAGUUCUGAGAUUGGUGAAGGUGAUAGCAAGGCAAAAGUGAGAGCCAGAUUGUCAAGGCCAGUACAGAGACCUCCUAGAAUGAAGCAUGGAUUAAGAGGAAAUUUCAGGAUUGGGCAUAGUGCUCCUCGAGGUGGCCGUUUCCCAUACACCCGGCCUCCUCCACGCCGGCCUCUGCCACGUCUUGUACGACCUGAUACUCGCUUACCUCCCGUCAGGAGGCCUCCACUGAAGAGGCCAAUGGAUAUUAGAGAUAGACGCCCUGUUAUGUCAAUACCAGAUAGAGUUAGGCGUUUGCCUCCUCCAGAGAGAUCCUAUGAUAGAAGGCCCCCAGCUCCUGUUUACCCAAAGAGAAGUCCAAGGAGGGAAUAUGGAAGACGUGAUGAACCUCCUCCGCCAAGGAGCAGAGCUACCUUUGCUGACUACAGUGCAAGAGUUCCAGUGGAUAGGCGACACACUUACAGGGACGACUAUUUGCCCCGUGAAUCAGCCUAUUCAGACCUAGCUCCUCGCAGCGCUCCCCGUCUUUCUGACAGGAGAGCAUAUGCUGAUGAUGGUUAUGUAGAGAAGAUUGACCGACCUUUGCCAACCUAUAGGGAGGCCCGUGGGCGUGAUUAUGAUACAAUAUCUGGUUCAAAACGCUCAUAUGUUGAGAUGGAUGACGUGCCUCCUCGGUAUCACGACAUUAGCGUUCGUCAGCCCAAGGCACGCUUAGAUUAUGAUGUUGGUGGUAGCAGUGCUCGGUAUGCAGAUGCUUAUACUGAGAGGCUUGGGCGGUCUCAUGUGGGAUACAGUAGCGGCAGAUCUGUCGCUGGUCAUGACCCGGUGUACAGCAGCAGCCGCCAUGGCUUGAGUUAUGGAGGUUCUGCAAGUACUGGAGAUGCUGGUGGAAAUUACACUUCAAAUUACAGUGCAGACUACAUGCCUCGUGGAUCUGAUGUUGGCGGGAGUUCAUAUUCAUCACAUUACUCGGGUCGUAACACGGGUAGCAGCAGUGGGUACUUUGGUGGCAGUGGUUCCAGUUCAUACUACUAAGGUGAUCUGGAAGUUUAGUUGCUGCUGAAAAUGGUGACAUUCCAUGAUCUGCUACAGUGAGCCUUUUGCUGCUUAAAAUCUUCCUAUCCAAUGAGUACUCUACAUGGCUACUUGAAAGCUAUAUGUUUAUAUACAAGAAAGGAUUGCAUCGAUGCAAUCUAGUACUUCCUUUUGGUGUCGAUUAAUUUGCCGCAGAUGAAGGCAAGUGCCACUUAAGUAGAAUUUAGGACCACCAUUAAAGUGAGUGGUCCUGACUCCUGAGCAUGCUUGGAUCUAUCCUUUAUCUAUCUGACAUAGCUUCUUCAACAACUGAGCAACCACUUGAGAUGACUAGCAACAAAUGAAAAUUCAGGUUUGCACAUUGACUCGAUGUAGUGUGCUGAUUUUGUAAGCAGGAAACUGUUCCAUGAUGCUGCGGCUUUACAUCCGUGCUCCAUCAUGUGUGGUCCUUGAAUUCCUGUGAACAUUUCUCUCUUGAUUGAUGUGGAAAAUGUGUCUGAAAUGGCCAUCAUUUCUUGAACAGGUAGCAAGAGGAACGACAGAUCUUUGAUCAAACAGCCACAUGCCCUGCACUAUCCUGCAUAUAUGCCUAGAGAAAAAGCAAAGUUACAGGCAAACAGUUUUGGCCAGUGAGCAAGCACAAAAGCAGGAAAAGAAGGGAUUAACCUAAUAAAGCUAAAGCGACCUCCCUUUUGCCCGCA